GAAUUUAUUACAAGAUGUCGCUUUUGUCAGAGGUGCAUGUGCUUCGUUUUCAACGAUCCUUUCAAUGGCAGUGACACUUCUUCCAAGGAAAAAGCUGGUCCAGCUUGGUCUGCAAUGAGAAGUCGGGAGAACAAGGAAAAUAUGCAAAGUUAUCAGACUAAGCCUAAUAACCACGUGGAAUCGAUGGAUUGGGAUGAUAGUGAAUCGAUGGCGGCUCAAUCGGUUGCUCAAUCAACUCGUUCCAGUCAUUUCAAGCCAGGACUUUUAUCCAGAAAUAUCAAUGAAAGAAUGACUGCUCAACAGCUUACACCCUCCGUGGCAAAUUUGAAUCAAAUUUGAACCGACAAAUGGCUCAGCAACAGAAUCACACACCGACUAGAUCAUUGUUCGGGCCACCACGAUCUAUGGUAGCUUCACAAUACGACAGGAGUCACUACAUGGCACCGGAAGCACAAUGCUCGCAGCCGCCGAAUUAAAUUUGGUAGAAGUGGAAGCAACAUUAAGAUUUCGUCAACGUCUGAUAAUCUGCCAGGAACGCUUAUAUAGAGCGACCGUACCAGAAACGGAGCGAAUCCAGAUUCCAUUGCUCAAAAUUCUCGGAUUCGCUUGCAAAUCAGAAGGAGUGGAGCAGAGAUUCAAGGUCUAGCACUACAGUUCAUCGAAAAUGUACAAAAUCUGGAAAGAUUUUUGGAAGAGGAGAACGAGAACUUGGCUGCCGGUGAUACACAACGAGCUCAAAUCCUAUGCCAAGAGUUCCGUCACCACUUCAAUCAGAUUAAUCAAUGGAAGUACCGCUGUGUCGCGAAUAUGAGACGAAUUUCAAAUCGCAUUGGAGCUUUACGACGUAGAUUGGCACUCCCGGUGAAUGUCGAAUUCGGCGUCUUGGAUAUCGGUCAGCAUGGAUAACG
Non-coding RNA from Caenorhabditis elegans, 908 nucleotides. The record is from Ensembl. Lineage: Eukaryota; Metazoa; Nematoda; Chromadorea; Rhabditida; Rhabditidae.